GUUCUUCUUCGUUUAACAUCGUUGUCUCUACCAAACAAUCUAAUGGGUGACAAGAAGAAGGCUGGUGCUCUAUUCGUGAGGCUUGUUUCAAAUGCUGGAACUGGAUUUUUCUAUGUGAAGAAGAAGACCAAAACUCUUAUAACGAAUCAGACGAAGCUUGAAUUUAGAAAGUUUGAUCCUCGAGUGAAUUGUCAUGUUCUCUUCAAGGAAGAAAAGAUGAAGUGAUGCAAACGCCAAACUUUUUGCCAAAUCCUCUUUUUAACGGUUCUUUCAUUUUUGCAGCAGCCACUCAGUUGUGAAAUUAGACAACAGGACCUUUUGCUCACUUGUGCUACCACAAUUAAGUAAGUUUGUUUAGUUCUAUUUAUGCAAUUCUCUGAGUUCGUUCGUGAUCAUGUUGAAUGAAUAUAGUUAUAGAAGAGUGACUUUGGACGAACAAUUCCAUCAAUUUACAUGUAUGAUUCUUAAGGUCGAUUU
Molecule: unclassified non-coding RNA, 477 nt
Filed under: Hevea brasiliensis (rubber tree)
Lineage: Eukaryota; Viridiplantae; Streptophyta; Magnoliopsida; Malpighiales; Euphorbiaceae
Source: RNAcentral